UUAGUGGCGGACGGGUGAGUAACGCGUGAGGAAGUCUGGCCCUCGAAGUGGGGAAUAACACCGAGAAAUCGGUGCUAAUACCGCAUAACGUCUUCGGAUCGCAUGUUCUGAAGACCAAAGGAUUUAUUCGGCUUGAGGAUGAUCUCGCGUCCGAUUAGUUAGUUGGUGAGGUAACGGCUCACCAAGACCGCGAUCGGUAGCCGAACUGAGAGGUUGAUCGGCCACAUUGGGACUGAGACACGGCCCAGACUCCUACGGGAGGCAGCAGUGGGGAAUAUUGGGCAAUGGGCGAAAAAGCCUGACCCAGCAAUGCCGCGUGAAGGAUGAAGGUCCUUCGGGUUGUAAACUUCUUUGAUUGGGGAAGAACAAAGUGACCUACCAAAGAACAAGUCACGGCUAACUACGUGCCAGCCGCCGC
This 418-nucleotide ribosomal RNA is filed under the name uncultured bacterium. Its description in RNAcentral is "bacterial SSU rRNA". It matches the Rfam family "Bacterial small subunit ribosomal RNA", at positions 92 to 518 of the family's 1533-position model. The record is from RNAcentral.